This 77-nucleotide non-coding RNA is filed under the name unclassified sequences. RNAcentral's name for it is "L13-Bacteroidia ribosomal protein leader". It matches the Rfam family "L13-Bacteroidia ribosomal protein leader". The record is from RNAcentral.
GGGGAUACGCUUAGAGUCCCCAAGAUAUGGUGUGUUAAUAGCAUGCCCUGUGGCCGGGGAUAUGUGGUUAGUGAAUC